RNAcentral lists this ribosomal RNA (253 nucleotides) under uncultured bacterium. RNAcentral's name for it is "partial 16S ribosomal RNA". It matches the Rfam family "Bacterial small subunit ribosomal RNA", at positions 524 to 776 of the family's 1533-position model. The record is from RNAcentral.
UACGUAGGGCGCAAGCGUUGUCCGGAAUUAUUGGGCGUAAAGAGCUCGUAGGCGGCCUGUUGCGUCCGCUGUGAAAUCCCGGGGCUUAACCCCGGGCUUGCAGUGGAUACGGGCAGGCUGGAGGCAGGCAGGGGAGAACGGAAUUCCCGGUGUAGCGGUGAAAUGCGCAGAUAUCGGGAGGGACACCGGUGGCGAAGGCGGUUCUCUGGGCCUGUACUGACGCUGAGGAGCGAAAGCGUGGGGAGCGAACAGG